Long non-coding RNA from Capra hircus (goat), 511 nucleotides. RefSeq lists it as uncharacterized. The transcript has 2 exons. Lineage: Eukaryota; Metazoa; Chordata; Mammalia; Artiodactyla; Bovidae. The record is from RefSeq and is a predicted model, not a curated record.
GCGGGGCGGGAGCGGGGGGUCCGGGGCCUGGCUGUGGCCCUCGGCGGUCUCCUGGUCCUGGUCUUCGGCGAGUGCCGUGCUGUCCGGCGCCCGAUAGCCGCCGCCCUCACCUGCGCGCAUCUGCGGCUGACACGUCGGCGGCCGCGGCGGCCACUGCAGAGUCCCGGGAGCCCGGCAGAUGCUGAGUAAAAGCUAGCAGUGGAAAGGCCGAACCUCGGAGCAGGUGCGGCGGGGAAAGGGAAGGGAUGGCCCCUUUUGCUCCGCGGCCACCUGCUGUGCAGACCAGGCCACCCGGCUCUGCUGGGGCAAAAGCCGGCCAGAAACCACCCGGAGCGCCCUCCACUGGCCAGACCACAGAACUCUCGCCCAGCUGCCUAGUGGAGAGGAGCGACUCAACCUCCCAGCUCCAAAGAGUCAGUGCGGUCCACCUUGGCCGCUUCCACCAUCUGUGCCUCUCAGACUGCGCGCGAGUUCUUGUCGCUUAUGAGGAAAUAAAGUGAAGGCAGAUGUG